AGAAGUCCGUGUUGUCAGGCUGAGCCGAGGAGACCAGCCUUCACCACAAGUACUGGCAAAGUACAGACUCAUAGCUAAAGAGGCCAUAUUGUCUCUGUGCUGUGAGGCAACUGAUCUUGGCCCCUUCAUCGCUGAGCUUCAGUCCAAACUGUCCUGCCAGGCUGACUCCUGCCACAGUGCUCCAGUUACACUGAAUCAGCACAAGAGAGUGGUGGCGCUGGAGUCUACACUACUGGUG
Long non-coding RNA from Xiphias gladius (swordfish), 238 nucleotides. RefSeq lists it as uncharacterized. The transcript is spliced from 3 exons. The record is from RefSeq and is a predicted model, not a curated record. Lineage: Eukaryota; Metazoa; Chordata; Actinopteri; Istiophoriformes; Xiphiidae.